This 446-nucleotide ribosomal RNA is filed under the name uncultured Methanolinea sp. RNAcentral describes it as "bacterial SSU rRNA". It matches the Rfam family "Archaeal small subunit ribosomal RNA", at positions 892 to 1338 of the family's 1478-position model. The record is from RNAcentral. Lineage: Archaea; Methanobacteriati; Methanobacteriota; Methanomicrobia; Methanomicrobiales; Methanoregulaceae.
AGCCUGCGGUUAAUUGGACUCAACGCCGGGCAGCUCACCGGAUAAGACAGCUGGAUGAUAGCCGGGCUGAAGACUCUGCUUGACUAGCUGAGAGGAGGUGCAUGGCCGUCGUCAGUUCGUACUGUGAAGCAUCCUGUUAAGUCAGGCAACGAGCGAGACCCACGCCAACAGUUGCCAGCAUGUCCUCCGGGAUGAUGGGGACACUGUUGGGACCGCCUCUGCUAAAGAGGAGGAAGGAAUGGGCAACGGUAGGUCAGCAUGCCCCGAAUUAUCCGGGCUACACGCGGGCUACAAUGGUCAGGACAAUGGGUAUCGACACCGAGAGGUGGAGGCAAUCUCCUAAACCCAUCCGUAGUUCGGAUUGUGGGCUGCAACUCGCCCACAUGAAGCUGGAAUCUGUAGUAAUCGUGUCUCAAAAUGGCACGGUGAAUAUGUCCCUGCUCCUU